This is a non-coding RNA of Mesocricetus auratus (golden hamster), 73 nucleotides long. The record is from Rfam. Lineage: Eukaryota; Metazoa; Chordata; Mammalia; Rodentia; Cricetidae.
GAGAUGAUGGCUCAGAGGUUAAGAGCACUGGAUGCUCCUCCAGAGGACCUGAGUUCAAAUCCCAGCAACCACA